CACGUAGUUAGCCGGGGCUUCUUAGUCAGGUACCGUCAUUAUCUUUCCUGCUGAUAGAGCUUUACAUAUCGAGAUACUUCUUCACUCACGCGGCGUCGCUGCAUCAGGGUUUCCCCCAUUGUGCAAUAUUCCCCACUGCUGCCUCCCGUAGGAGUCUGGGCCGUGUCUCAGUCCCAAUGUGGCCGUUCACCCUCUCAGGCCGGCUACUGAUCGUCGCUUUGGUGGGCCGUUACCCCGCCAACUGGCUAAUCAGACGCGGAUCCAUCGUAUACCACCGGAGUUUUUCACACCGCCCCAUGCGGAGCUGUGCGCUCAUGCGGUAUUAGCACCUAUUUCUAAGUGUUAUCCCCCGGUAUACGGCAGGUUAUCCACGUGUUACUCACCCGUCCGCCACUAACUCAUAAAUCACUAGGUUUCAGUAUGAGUCCGUUCGACUUGCAUGUGUUAGGCACGCCGCCAGCGUUCAUCCUGAGCCAGGAUCAAACUCU
Molecule: ribosomal RNA, 488 nt
Filed under: uncultured Lachnospiraceae bacterium
Lineage: Bacteria; Bacillati; Bacillota; Clostridia; Lachnospirales; Lachnospiraceae
Description: partial 16S ribosomal RNA
Source: RNAcentral